RNAcentral lists this transfer RNA (85 nucleotides) under candidate division GN15 bacterium. RNAcentral describes it as "tRNA-Leu". It matches the Rfam family "tRNA". Rfam says of the family: Transfer RNA (tRNA) molecules are approximately 80 nucleotides in length. Their secondary structure includes four short double-helical elements and three loops (D, anti-codon, and T loops). The record is from RNAcentral.
GCCGGAGUGGUGGAAGUGGUAGACACCAGGGACUUAAAAUCCCUUGGACCAUUGGUCCGUGCCGGUUCAAAUCCGGCCUCCGGCA